This 746-nucleotide ribosomal RNA is filed under the name Lactobacillus casei group sp. Its description in RNAcentral is "bacterial SSU rRNA". It matches the Rfam family "Bacterial small subunit ribosomal RNA", at positions 51 to 761 of the family's 1533-position model. Lineage: Bacteria; Bacillati; Bacillota; Bacilli; Lactobacillales; Lactobacillaceae. The record is from RNAcentral.
AUACAUGCAAGUCGAACGAGUUCUCGUUGAUGAUCGGUGCUUGCACCGAGAUUCAACAUGGAACGAGUGGCGGACGGGUGAGUAACACGUGGGUAACCUGCCCUUAAGUGGGGGAUAACAUUUGGAAACAGAUGCUAAUACCGCAUAGAUCCAAGAACCGCAUGGUUCUUGGCUGAAAGAUGGCGUAAGCUAUCGCUUUUGGAUGGACCCGCGGCGUAUUAGCUAGUUGGUGAGGUAAUGGCUCACCAAGGCGAUGAUACGUAGCCGAACUGAGAGGUUGAUCGGCCACAUUGGGACUGAGACACGGCCCAAACUCCUACGGGAGGCAGCAGUAGGGAAUCUUCCACAAUGGACGCAAGUCUGAUGGAGCAACGCCGCGUGAGUGAAGAAGGCUUUCGGGUCGUAAAACUCUGUUGUUGGAGAAGAAUGGUCGGCAGAGUAACUGUUGUCGGCGUGACGGUAUCCAACCAGAAAGCCACGGCUAACUACGUGCCAGCAGCCGCGGUAAUACGUAGGUGGCAAGCGUUAUCCGGAUUUAUUGGGCGUAAAGCGAGCGCAGGCGGUUUUUUAAGUCUGAUGUGAAAGCCCUCGGCUUAACCGAGGAAGCGCAUCGGAAACUGGGAAACUUGAGUGCAGAAGAGGACAGUGGAACUCCAUGUGUAGCGGUGAAAUGCGUAGAUAUAUGGAAGAACACCAGUGGCGAAGGCGGCUGUCUGGUCUGUAACUGACGCUGAGGCUCGAAAGCA